This is an RNA transcript of Alosa alosa (allis shad), 928 nucleotides long. RefSeq lists it as uncharacterized. The transcript has 5 exons. NCBI's taxonomy places the organism in Eukaryota, Metazoa, Chordata, Actinopteri, Clupeiformes, Clupeidae. The record is from RefSeq and is a predicted model, not a curated record.
AUAAAGGCAGGCUAUUUACACAAACACUCUGGAUUCCUCAAACCAGAGAAUGUCUGCUCAAAACAAAAUAUUGUGUUUGAACACGUGUUACAUGUAGGCUAACAGUGUAAGGGAUUUAAGUGUCGACUAAUAUGUGAAAGGUAGAUGUAGUUGGAUUGUUUUAAUAUGGAAUAAUCGAGUGACCAUGGAGACCUCAAGCACUCAGCAGCAACGCGACGAAGACGUCGUCAGAAGGAGAUAUUGUAAGAGAAGUAUACAGAAAAUGAAACUCAAAAAAAGAGACUCGGGAUACAGGGAAAAUGACAGCAGUCAAAAACCCGAAUCCGAAGAAAUUCCUCCAGUGCCACAACAACUACUCAACUUAAUCAGAAUGAAGGCUUUCAGAGAAAAGUUGAAGACGGCUCCAGAAAUGGAGUUACAUGAUCCUCAGCACUGCAGGUCAUGCCAGGUCAAACAGGCUGAGCUGGCACGAGAUGACUUCAUAAGGAGGAAGACGACACAGCUCCUGUCUCCCCUUCUGGAAGAAAAAAUCCAAUCCCACUUCCUUAAUAGAAACUCCAUUUGUCUGAUAGGAGAGGUAUUGAGAGACCUGCCUAGGCCGUCAGAUGACCCUGGCCUUGUCUGGAAGGCUCUGAAGGCCAGGGAAGUGGAACUGACCCAGCAGACAGACUCGAGCUGAUCCUGCCUUUUCCCAUGUUCAGUGGAAUCAAGCCUGUGACUUUGAUAUCGACAUGGACCUUGAAGAAAAAUCAACCCUAGCCUGACUCCAGGCCUCCCACAAGUGGUGCUUCACCAGGAAAAAGCCUGAACACCUGCAGGAGAGCUGACACAGACGGGACCUUGAGCGGGAAGGGGAAAAAAAGGCGACUCCUCUCUCAGAGGAUGAGGGGGGGGAAAGUGGAGUGUUUGUGAGUUUGCCAACCUUCAU